This 1804-nucleotide unclassified non-coding RNA is filed under the name Leishmania donovani. RNAcentral describes it as "gene:LdHU3.33.1710(CDS-product:hypothetical_prote in_conserved)". Lineage: Eukaryota; Euglenozoa; Kinetoplastea; Trypanosomatida; Trypanosomatidae. The record is from RNAcentral.
GGGGUGCGUCACUUCUGCCGCUGCAUCACCGCCUACUCUCCCCGUUUUCAUUGCGAUCAUUUGCCUGCGACUUUGCGGUGAUGGUAGGGACACACACACACUCACACAGAGACAGACGCGCGCCCACGUGGAGGCGCCGCGCGCCCGACUUUUCUGCUUUUCCUUGCUGACUCCUACACACGGUCCUCUCAUCCUCCGCACCGGUUUUCUCGCGCUGUGGCAUUCAAGAGGACAUAUACGCGUCGUUGAUCGAUCAUGAUCCCGCGCAAUGUGCCAUACGAGCAUAGUCCGCCGCCUCGCGACAACAUCGUGACGGUCGUCAUGCCUGGCGUCACCUCCUGUCGCUCCCUGCUCUCCCGCUACACUGGUGGGGAUCCGCUGACGGUGCUGUGCAACUGGUCUGAUGUGGAACCCACAGACCCGCUGUACAUCGCAGAUGCGGGUAAGAAUCGGUUCACCGGAAUGCCGCUUGCUCGGCGACUUCGGCGCGCCUUGCUGCAGUGGCGGCGAGUUGUCAUGAGCGGGAAGAGUCACCGGUCGGACAGUGACGACGACGACAACGUUGCAGAGGCGCGGCAGCAGACAUCACCGGACUUGGUGCUUGCCGGCGGCAGCGACCGACGACAGCGUACGCGUGGCGACGAAGAGAGGAGCACCGCCGCCACGGUGCAGGCGGCAGAGCUCGGCCUCACAGAUCCCCCAGUGCUAUACAGAGCAACGUGCCGCAUUGCUCCGCGGCUGCUACACGGGGUUCUUGACUCGCCCGAGGUGGCGGAGGUGCGGCACCGUGGGUGGUACCGUACUCUUAAUCCCCUGCAUUGGGGCCUCGUGGUGAAAGAGCUCCUUGCGUGCUGGUGGUUCAGCGUGCGACCUUUUCAGUGGUGCUACUCGGAGCCAGGCAGGACGAACAUAGCGGGUAUGCGAGACCAGGCAGCCUUCACGCGUGAAGUGCGGCGUGGUGUGCGUCAUAUGAAGGUCGCAACGGCAGCGGAAACGCAUGGCGACCAGGCAGGCGUUGAGGCACGGGAGAGCACCUCAAUGAGGAGCAAUAAGAAGCACCUGGUUCUCUUUGGUCUCAGCCGUGGUGCCACGACGUGCUUCUACUCGGCCAUGAAACUGUCGCCAGAGGAGGCCAAGCAUGUGUCUCUUGUACUUGUCGAGGCACCGUUCGACACCCUGGAUCAUGUCAUCGAUGCAUCGUGUUGGAUUCCGCGGCUCAUGCGGUGGUUUGUGCGGUCGUUCGCCGACUGGCGCGGCACACGCGAGGAGAAGCUGGCCUACGACUUUGACCCAAAGGAAGUACACUUGCGCUGCCCCAUCGCCUUCGUGAUGUCUGUCAAGGACAAGCGUGUGCCCAACGAGUGCACGCAGGCGCUGAUUGACCGCGUGCGACGAGAGCUCGUCCCGCACGUCAUACCCGCGGUAGAAGUGCUGGUGCUGCAACAUAGUGGGCAUGGCACUAUGGCAGUCGGCAGCAAGGAAGAUCAGGGCGCGUACGUUGCGUUUGUGGAGCGGCUAUACGACACAUAUUGCUCUUCGUGACACGCUUGACACAGCUUCAAGGGUGAGGACACCAUGAGAAGAGGACUAGUAGAAGAGAGAGUUGCAAGGUGCUUCGGGUCGUUCUCACUGCUUCCAUCGCCCCUAAUAUCUCCCACCCCCCUGAUGGCGGUGGGGCACACCUCCGUGCGUGGUAUUAGAGCCUCCAGUGUCACCGCUCCGUGUGGGGAAGCCGAGCAGCCCCCCCCCCCCCUUCUCCCCCUCCUUUACCUGUCAAAUGCUGAACCACUUCCGGUCAUGAAAG